Molecule: ribosomal RNA, 253 nt
Filed under: uncultured bacterium
Lineage: Bacteria
Description: partial 16S ribosomal RNA
Rfam family: Bacterial small subunit ribosomal RNA
Source: RNAcentral
UACAGGGGGUGCAAACGUUGCUCGGAAUCAUUGGGCGUAAAGCGCACGUAGGCGGUUCGUUAUGUCGGAUGUGAAAGCCCUUGGCUUAACCGAGGAAGUGCAUCCGAAACUGGCGAGCUAGAGUACGAAAGAGGAUCGCGGAAUUCCCGGUGUAGAGGUGAAAUGCGCAGAUAUCAGGAGGAACACCGGUGGCGAAGGCGGGUCUCUGGGCCGAUACUGACACUGAGGAGCGAAAGCAUGGGUAGCGAACAGG